UAGGGAAUCUUCGGCAAUGGACGAAAGUCUGACCGAGCAACGCCGCGUGAGUGAAGAAGGUUUUCGGAUCGUAAAACUCUGUUGUUAGAGAAGAACAAGGACGUUAGUAACUGAACGUCCCCUGACGGUAUCUAACCAGAAAGCCACGGCUAACUACGUGCCAGCAGCCGCGGUAAUACGUAGGUGGCAAGCGUUGUCCGGAUUUAUUGGGCGUAAAGCGAGCGCAGGCGGUUUCUUAAGUCUGAUGUGAAAGCCCCCGGCUCAACCGGGGGGGGUCAUUGGAAACUGGGUGACUUGAGUGCAGAAGAGGAGAGUGGAAUUCCAUGUGUGGCGGUGAAAUGCGUAGAUAUAUGGAGGAACACCAGUGGCAAAGGCGGCUCUCUGGUCUGUAACUGACGCUGAGGCUCGAAAGCGUGGGGAGCAAACAGG
Molecule: ribosomal RNA, 429 nt
Filed under: Gemmatimonadota bacterium
Lineage: Bacteria; Pseudomonadati; Gemmatimonadota
Description: Gemmatimonadetes bacterium partial 16S ribosomal RNA
Rfam family: Bacterial small subunit ribosomal RNA
Source: RNAcentral